CCUACGGGAGGCAGCAGUAGGGAAUCUUCCACAAUGGGCGAAAGCCUGAUGGAGCAACGCCGCGUGGGUGAAGAAGGUCUUCGGAUCGUAAAACCCUGUUGUUAGAGAAGAAAGUGCGUGAGAGUAACUGUUCACGUUUCGACGGUAUCUAACCAGAAAGCCACGGCUAACUACGUGCCAGCAGCCGCGGGAAUACGUAGGUGGCAAGCGUUGUCCGGAUUUAUUGGGCGUAAAGGGAACGCAGGCGGUCUUUUAAGUCUGAUGUCAAAGGCUUCGGCUUAACCGGAGUAGUGCAUUGGAAACUGGGAGACUUGAGUGCAGAAGAGGUGAGUGGAACUCGAGGUGUAGCGGUGAAAUGCAUAGAUAUAGGGAAGAACACCGAUGGCGAAAGCAGCUCUCUGGUCUGUAACUGACGCUGAGGUUCGAAAGCGUGGGUAGCAAACAGGAUUAGAUACCCCAGUAGUC
RNAcentral lists this ribosomal RNA (465 nucleotides) under uncultured bacterium. RNAcentral describes it as "partial 16S ribosomal RNA". It matches the Rfam family "Bacterial small subunit ribosomal RNA", at positions 338 to 795 of the family's 1533-position model. The record is from RNAcentral.